UAGGGAAUCUUCGGCAAUGGGGGGAAACCUGACUGAGCAACGCAGCGUGAGAGAAGAAGGUUUUCGGAUCGUAAAGCUCUGUGGUUAAGGAAGAACGAGUGUGAGAAUGGAAAGUUCAUAGUGUGACGGUACUUAACGAGAAAGGGACGGCUAACUACGUGAUAGCAGCCGAGGUAAUACGUAGGGCCCGAGCGUGGUCCGGAGUUAUUGGGCGUAAAGCGAGCGCAGGCGGUGAGAUAAGUCUGAAGUUAAAGGCAGUUGCUCAACCAUUGUAGUCUUUGGAAACUGUUUAACUUGCGUGCCGAAGGGGAGAGUGGAAUUCCAUGUGUAGCGGUGAAAUGCGUAGAUAUAUGGAGGAACACCGGUCGCGAAAGCGGCUCUCUCGUCUGUAACUGACGCUGAGUCUCGAAAGCGUAGGGAGCGAACAGG
Molecule: ribosomal RNA, 429 nt
Filed under: Bacteroidota bacterium
Lineage: Bacteria; Pseudomonadati; Bacteroidota
Description: Bacteroidetes bacterium partial 16S ribosomal RNA
Rfam family: Bacterial small subunit ribosomal RNA
Source: RNAcentral